UACGUAGGGGGCAAGCGUUGUCCGGAAUUACUGGGCGUAAAGCGCGUGUAGGCGGGACGGCAAGUCUGGUGUGAAAGGCUCGGGCUCAACCCGAGAUGGCCGCUGGAAACUGCCGUUCUUGAGGGUCGAAGAGGAGAGUGGAAUUCCUGGUGUAGCGGUGAAAUGCGUAGAGAUCAGGAGGAACACCCAUGGCGAAGGCAGCUCUCUGGUCGACCUCUGACGCUGAGACGCGAAAGCGUGGGGAGCGAACGGG
Molecule: ribosomal RNA, 253 nt
Filed under: uncultured bacterium
Lineage: Bacteria
Description: partial 16S ribosomal RNA
Rfam family: Bacterial small subunit ribosomal RNA
Source: RNAcentral